GUGUCUCACCACUAGAGGUCGCCAGAAACCAAAUAUUAAUUGAGCAUACUUAAUGAAUCAGUUUCACCUGUCUGGAAUUAUUACCCAGCAUGCACUGAGCAGCCAGUUUAUCAGCUCUACUAUGCAAGUGACUUUGCAGGUGCACAAUUACAGACUCUAGUUCAUCUUGCUCUGUACAGUUUGCUUCCCAAGAUGGACAUAUAGUCUAUAGAAUAACAUCUGGAAUGAGGACAGCUCCUGGUAGUGACUCUUGAGCUGACUUCAGCUGAAUGCACCCAUAAAGCAACAGGCAACAAGAGAAAAAGAAAAAGAAUUAUUUUAGCAGUUCAUACUUACCAAUGCCAAGAAGUGGAAGGAAUAAAAGCAGCAGGAUCCUGGGGAAGGUCAUGUCUCUUUUCAGUCUGCUCUUCAGUUUGGAGAAGUUCUUCACUGCGCUCUGCUUUGGCCCACUAUAUACAGUUUCUCAAAAACAGGAACUAACACCCUGAAGCACUUUCAAAGAGCAUUUAACAUGCUCGAGUUUGGCCAAAGCCACAAAGCCAGCCUGAGCUGAUAAGGUGUAAAGCUCUUGCAUUGUUCAGAAGCUGGAGCUUUGACCGAAGUCACGGAUGAAACUAUCUCUCUGAAAAAAAAGAAAAAAAGAAACAGCUCCAGUUUCAGGGUCCAGAGCAGAUUUGUUGAUUUUUUUUUCUUCUUUAGAUGAUUUCAACACUGAGUUUUAGCCUAUAUAAACCCUCAAUGACACGGUAAGGAACAAAAGAUGAAUAUCAGCUCCAGUUUGCUUUUUGAUACGCACUUGAUGUCUGAUCUUUUCUAUGAAGCUGAUAUGUACUUUAAAAAACGCACACAUUUAAAAUACAUGUCUAUAUGACUCUGCUUUGGAUCGUGAUUAUUCACUCACAUGAAAUGAUCAAACAGCAAACACUGUAUGUGACUGUAUGUGAGAUCAUUCUAACACUCAAUAAACAGUAUUAUCAUAAUGUAGUGAUGUAAUCAUUUAGCAAAAGAUCUCAUACUCAUACAGAUUAUCUGAAUAUAGUAUGGUUCUAAUCAAGAAAAGAAAGAAGAAUAAAUCUGAUUACAGAUUUUACAGCUCACUGAUAUUUUGUCCUCAUACUCUCAAGGAUUUACAGCAAUGGACUUAUCCAAAGUCAUAUUCUGUUAAUACUUUUACAUCUACACACUUAUUUAUUUCAAAACAACUAUGUACAGAUGUUUAUAAUGAUAAUAUGGAUGCAUGAAACAUUUCACAGCUAUGGUUUAAUUCUGUAUUGAUGUAUUUUAUAUGCAUUAAAUGGUGUUUUUUAUGAAGCAUCUUAAGAAAGGGGAGUAAGGCAGACUGGGAAAUUGAGAGUGUUACUUAGACCUACUGCUGAGUAUGCCAAGGUUUUUAAUGUACUGUGUUCAGAUAAUUAUUAGAGAUUGAUAUUGAUGUUUGUUUUAUUUCUAAAUCCUGUGUUAUGCUGAUACUGCAAGAAAUAAAUUAUACACAAUUAUA
Pangasianodon hypophthalmus (striped catfish) is the source of this 1498-nucleotide long non-coding RNA. RefSeq lists it as uncharacterized. The record is from RefSeq and is a predicted model, not a curated record. Lineage: Eukaryota; Metazoa; Chordata; Actinopteri; Siluriformes; Pangasiidae. The transcript has 2 exons.